CAAUAGCGUAUAUUAACGUUGUUGCAGUUAAAAAGCUCGUAGUUGGAUUUCUGGAGGGAGCGUCGGCCCGUAUUUACGAGUGCGUGACGUCUCUGUCCAUCCUUGCGGGAAGGCACGGCAUUGAUUUGUUGUGUCGGAUCGCAUCAUUUACUGUGAAAAAAUUAGAGUGUUCAAAGCAGGCUUUCGCUUGAAUACAUUAGCAUGGAAUAAUAAGAUAGGACUUUGGUGCUAUUUUGUUGGUUGAGCCUAAAGUAAUGAUUAAUAGGGAUAGUUGGGGGCACCUGUAUUGCGUUGUCAGAGGUGAAAUUCUUGGAUUUACGCAAGACAAACAGCUGCGAAAGCGUCUGCCAAGGAUGUAUUCAUUAA
This 366-nucleotide ribosomal RNA is filed under the name uncultured eukaryote. RNAcentral describes it as "partial 18S ribosomal RNA". It matches the Rfam family "Eukaryotic small subunit ribosomal RNA", at positions 592 to 976 of the family's 1831-position model. The record is from RNAcentral.